AUGUUCCGGCCGGCGAGAACUUUAUUAUCUACGUUAAAUCGUGUCAAAGAAUGCCGUGCAGUACACGUUGCUAGUCAGAAUUUAGCGGAAAUUACAGAAUAUGAAUCUGUCAUUUCGGACGAGUACAAAAGAGGACCUGCAGAAGGCAGGGCCCUUUAUUUGGAUGCUCAAGCCACUACUCCACUGGACCCACGAGUACUAGAUAAAAUGAUGCCUUAUUUAACAUCACUGUAUGGAAAUCCACAUUCCAGAACCCAUAUGUAUGGGUGGGAAACAGAAGCUGCUGUAGAAGUUGCUAGAAAACAAGUAGCAAAUUUAAUUGGUGCUGAUAGCAAGGAAAUUAUAUUUACAUCUGGUGCAACAGAAUGUAAUAAUAUAGCAGUAAAAGGUAUAGCAAGGUUCUACAAAGGAAAAAAGAAUCAUAUUGUGACAACCCAGAUAGAGCACAAAUGUGUAUUAGAUUCCUGUAGAGCCUUGCAGGCAGAAGGCUUUGAAGUAACUUAUAUUCCAGUAAAUCCAAAAGGCCUUAUUGAUAUAAAUCAACUAGAAGAUGCAAUUAAACCAACUACUUCUUUAGUUUCUGUUAUGAUGGUAAAUAAUGAAAUUGGUGUGCAACAGCCUAUUGCAGAAAUUGGUGCUAUUUGUAGGAAGAAGAAGGUGUUCUUUCACACAGAUGCAGCUCAAGCAAUUGGCAAAAUUCCAAUUGAUGUUAAUGCUAUGAAUAUUGACUUAAUGUCUAUUAGUAGUCACAAACUAUAUGGUCCAAAAGGAGUUGGAGCUUUAUUUGUGAGGAGAAGACCAAGGGUACGUGUAGAACCAAUUCAAAGUGGUGGUGGCCAAGAAAGGGGUAUGAGGAGUGGUACUGUUCCAACAGCUUUAGCAGUAGGUCUAGGAGCAGCUUGUAAUUUGGCACAAACAGAAAUGGAGUAUGAUCAUAAAUAUAUCACAAUGCUUUCGAAUCAUUUGAUCGAUAAAAUAAUGACAAAUUUGCCACACGUUAUACGAAACGGAGAUGAAGUAGCUUGGUAUCCUGGAUGUGUGAAUUUAUCCUUUGCAUAUGUAGAAGGUGAAUCUUUAUUAAUGGCCUUAAAAAAUAUUGCUUUGAGCAGCGGUUCUGCUUGUACUAGCGCAAGUUUAGAGCCUAGUUACGUAUUAAGGGCAAUUGGAACAUCAGAAGAUCUCGCACAUUCCAGUAUUAGAUUUGGUAUUGGUCGUUUUACAACUCUCGAAGAGGUUGAUUAUACUGCUGAACAUACGAUUCGGCAUGUUAAAAGACUUCGAGAAAUGAGUCCAUUAUGGGAAAUGGUUCAAGAGGGAAUUGAUUUGAAAACUAUCAAAUGGACUCAGCACUAGUGGCUUUUUGCCAUAUAUCCUUAACUAUUUCAUUAUGUAGAUAGUGUGGAUUAAAUGAUACUGACCCAUAUGUGACAAUAUCAAGUAAAUGCUGGGAUAAAAGGUGAAAGGAUGUUGAAUUGUCUAAUGCAAAAACUAAAAU
Molecule: unclassified non-coding RNA, 1495 nt
Filed under: Habropoda laboriosa
Lineage: Eukaryota; Metazoa; Arthropoda; Insecta; Hymenoptera; Apidae
Description: probable cysteine desulfurase, mitochondrial, transcript variant X2
Source: RNAcentral